Small nucleolar RNA from Engraulis encrasicolus (European anchovy), 187 nucleotides. RefSeq annotates it as small nucleolar RNA SNORD97. The record is from RefSeq and is a predicted model, not a curated record. Lineage: Eukaryota; Metazoa; Chordata; Actinopteri; Clupeiformes; Engraulidae. The transcript has a single exon.
GUGCCCAAUGAUUAUAAAAAGACGCGUUAUUCUGAGGGAGCCCCCUGCUGUCUGUUCUCUGGCUGUUUCUCUUCCUUGCACUGCUCCCCCACUUUGCCUCCAUCUGUUUGGUCUGUCCCUCUCUUGUCUGUCUCUGUCUAUGGCAGGCAGCAGGUCCACUGAUUGCGAUUAUGAGAUAUGAGGGCAC